RNAcentral lists this ribosomal RNA (476 nucleotides) under uncultured beta proteobacterium. RNAcentral's name for it is "bacterial SSU rRNA". It matches the Rfam family "Bacterial small subunit ribosomal RNA", at positions 1002 to 1482 of the family's 1533-position model. Lineage: Bacteria; Pseudomonadati; Pseudomonadota; Betaproteobacteria. The record is from RNAcentral.
AGAGAUGUGGAAGUGCCCGAAAGGGAGCCAGAACACAGGUGCUGCAUGGCUGUCGUCAGCUCGUGUCGUGAGAUGUUGGGUUAAGUCCCGCAACGAGCGCAACCCUUGUCAUUAGUUGCUACGAAAGGGCACUCUAAUGAGACUGCCGGUGACAAACCGGAGGAAGGUGGGGAUGACGUCAAGUCCUCAUGGCCCUUAUGGGUAGGGCUACACACGUCAUACAAUGGCUGGUACAGAGGGUUGCCAACCCGCGAGGGGGAGCUAAUCCCAUAAAACCAGUCGUAGUCCGGAUCGUAGUCUGCAACUCGACUGCGUGAAGUCGGAAUCGCUAGUAAUCGCGGAUCAGCAUGUCGCGGUGAAUACGUUCCCGGGUCUUGUACACACCGCCCGUCACACCAUGGGAGCGGGUUCUGCCAGAAGUAGUUAGCCUAACCGCAAGGAGGGCGAUUACCACGGCAGGGUUCGUGACUGGGGUG